GAAACUCGGACCAAGGAGUCUAGCAUGUACGCGAGUCAUUGGGACACGACUAAACCUAAAGGCGUAAUGAAAGUGAAGGUCCGCCUCGCGCGGAUCGAGGGAGGAUGGGCGGUCCGCUUGUGGCCGCUCCGCACUCCCGGGGCGUCUCGUUCUCAUCGCGAGAAGAGGCGCACCAAGAGCGUACACGCUGGGACCCGAAAGAUGGUGAACUAUGCCUGGUCAGGACGAAGUCAGGGGAAACCCUGAUGGAGGUCCGUAGCGAUUCUGACGUGCAAAUCGAUCGUCGGAACUGGGUAUAGGGGCGAAAGACUAAUCGAACCAUCUAGUAGCUGGUUCCCUCCGAAGUUUCCCUCAGGAUAGCUGGCGCUCGUCGCGUACGAGUCUCAUCCGGUAAAGCGAAUGAUUAGAGGCAUUGGGGUCGAAACGGCCUCAACCUAUUCUCAAACUUUAAAUGGGUGAGAUCUCCGGCUUGCUCGAACUACUGAAGCCGCGAGACACGGAUCAGAGUGCCAAGUGGGCCAUUUUUGGUAAGCAGAACUGGCGCUGUGGGAUGAACCAAACGCCGAGUUAAAGCGCCCAAGUCGACGCUUAUGGGAUACCAUGAAAGGCGUUGGUAACUUAAGACAGCAGGACGGUGGCCAUGGAAGUCGGAAUCCG
RNAcentral lists this ribosomal RNA (657 nucleotides) under Parapeltis australicum. RNAcentral's name for it is "partial 28S large subunit ribosomal RNA". It matches the Rfam family "Eukaryotic large subunit ribosomal RNA", at positions 656 to 1270 of the family's 3401-position model. Lineage: Eukaryota; Metazoa; Arthropoda; Insecta; Coleoptera; Lophocateridae. The record is from RNAcentral.